UACGGAGGGGGCUAGCGUUGUUCGGAAUUACUGGGCGUAAAGCGCGCGUAGGCGGCUUGCCAAGUUGGGGGUGAAAGCCCGGGGCUCAACCCCGGAACUGCCUUCAAAACUGGCAGGCUCGAGGCCGAGAGAGGAGAGUGGAAUUCCCAGUGUAGAGGUGAAAUUCGUAGAUAUUGGGAAGAACACCAGCGGCGAAGGCGGCUCUCUGGCUCGGUCCUGACGCUGAGGUGCGAAAGCGUGGGGAGCAAACAGG
Molecule: unclassified non-coding RNA, 253 nt
Filed under: Alphaproteobacteria bacterium
Lineage: Bacteria; Pseudomonadati; Pseudomonadota; Alphaproteobacteria
Also listed under: 1 other name
Description: partial 16S ribosomal RNA
Rfam family: Bacterial small subunit ribosomal RNA
Source: RNAcentral